This 372-nucleotide ribosomal RNA is filed under the name uncultured bacterium. Its description in RNAcentral is "bacterial SSU rRNA". It matches the Rfam family "Bacterial small subunit ribosomal RNA", at positions 524 to 898 of the family's 1533-position model. The record is from RNAcentral.
UACGGAAGGUCCGGGCGUUAUCCGGAUUUAUUGGGUUUAAAGGGAGCGUAGGCCGGUUUGUAAGCCAGCAGUGAAAUGUAGAUGCUCAACAUCUGAGUUGCUGUUGGAACUGCGGACCUUGAGUGCGCGCAAGGGCGGCGGAAUUUGUGGUGUAGCGGUGAAAUGCUUAGAUAUCACGAAGAACUCCGAUUGCGAAGGCAGCCUACCAGGAUGUAACUGACGCUAAAGCUCGAAAGUGCGGGUAUCGAACAGGAUUAGAUACCCUGGUAGUCCGCACGGUAAACGAUGGAUGCCCGCUGUUGGCGAUAUACAGUCAGCGGCCAAGCGAAAGCGUUAAGCAUCCCACCUGGGGAGUACGCCGGCAACGGUGAA